GGAAAGCGCUGGCUGGGACUUCACCCUCCUCCUGCAUGUGACGGACACAGCACUGAUCCUGGCAGCUCCUUACCCCCAGCAGCCCGAAACUCACUCCUUAAUUACACAAGGGAAACCUUUUACCUCCGCAGCCAGAGUCUGGGGGGAAAGGCAGGCGUGGGAAGCACUAACUCCCUCUCUGGAUAUCUGGAACAAGGAGGACCUUAAACUUAACAAUAAAGCCAAUGAUGGUUCUACCAGUCUCCCCAAAGCCUCAAGUUUAAAAGCCAUAUGAACUGGCUGAUAGUGGAAAAUGGAAGCCAUGAGGAAAUCAGAUUAGAGUACUACCUGGUGAAGCCUGGAGGACCUACCAAGAAAAGCAAACUUGGAUCUUUGCAAGGUUAGAAGAACGAAUGGGAUCCAAGAAAAAGACUGGUCAUAUUCAACGGCUAAGAGCGUUGGAGAAGGCCUGUGGAGUCUCAGCAGGUCAGGUCCAUGACUCAUGAGUAGACACCUGUGUUUCUACUGCCUGGUGCCAUAAUCAUAAACAAGGAAGAAACUGAGGACAGGAGGGGCCAAACAAGUUACAGUUUCAUCCCUCCAGAGAGCCAACAGAGUAUUUUGCACGAAGUUGAAGCUAAACAGAGUAAUCAGCAAAUGCCUUUCCUUUCUCCUGCUGAUGUUUUGCCCGUACUCAGACCCCUUGACUUCUUAGCUUCUACCCAAAGUGAGCUUGUCAUCAAAGUUCUCCAAAAAUCUGCAGUGUUCUCUUGAGCAAAUCUGCUUUGCUUCAGCUGUCCCUGCUCACUACGGCACUGCACCUCACCAGCAUCUUCAUGGCCCUCACAUGGCUCAUGUGCAUAUCCUAACUCUGAUACUAAGGGAGGAGACCACCCCUCAUAUUGUCUUAUGCCCAAUUUCUGCCUCCAAAGAAAGAAGAAGUAAAAACUAAAAGGCAGAAAUGAAAUCCACAAGCAGACAGCCCGGCGCCACACCCUGGGCCUGGUAGUUAAAGAUCGACCCCUGACCUAAUCGGUUAUUUGCAUAAGAAAAGCACUGUGAAGAUCCCUGUCCUGUUCUGUUCCAUUCUAAUUACCGGUGUAUGCAGCCCCCAGUCAUGUACCCCUGCUUGCUCAAUCGAUCACGACCCUCUCACGUGGACCCCCUUAGAGUUGUGGGCCCUUAAAAGGGACAGGAAUUGCUCACUCGGGGAGCUUGGUU
RNAcentral lists this long non-coding RNA (1200 nucleotides) under Homo sapiens (human). Its description in RNAcentral is "novel transcript, antisense to PRKCDBP". The record is from RNAcentral. Lineage: Eukaryota; Metazoa; Chordata; Mammalia; Primates; Hominidae.